UACGUAGGGUGCGAGCGUUAAUCGGAAUUACUGGGCGUAAAGGGCGCGUAGGCGGUUCGUCAAGUCCUGUGUGAAAUCCCCCGGCUCAACUGGGGAACUGCACAGGAAACUAGCGGGCUUGAGUUCGGGAGAGGGAAGCGGAAUUCCAGGUGUAGCGGUGAAAUGCGUAGAUAUCUGGAGGAACACCGGUGGCGAAGGCGGCAUCCUGGACCGGCAUUGACGCUGAGGAGCGAAAGCCAGGGGAGCAAACGGG
This 253-nucleotide ribosomal RNA is filed under the name uncultured bacterium. Its description in RNAcentral is "partial 16S ribosomal RNA". It matches the Rfam family "Bacterial small subunit ribosomal RNA", at positions 524 to 776 of the family's 1533-position model. The record is from RNAcentral.